GGGAGGCCAAUACUGCAGUCGAGCGAGCUUGCCUAGAUGAUUUUAGUGCUUGCACUAAAUGAAACUAGAUACAAGCGAGCGGCGGACGGGUGAGUAACACGUGGGUAACCUGCCCAAGAGACUGGGAUAACACCUGGAAACAGAUGCUAAUACCGGAUAACAACACUAGACGCAUGUCUAGAGUUUGAAAGAUGGUUCUGCUAUCACUCUUGGAUGGACCUGCGGUGCAUUAGCUAGUUGGUAAGGUAACGGCUUACCAAGGCAAUGAUGCAUAGCCGAGUUGAGAGACUGAUCGGCCACAUUGGGACUGAGACACGGCCCAAACUCCUACGGGAGGCAGCAGUAGGGAAUCUUCCACAAUGGACGAAAGUCUGAUGGAGCAACGCCGCGUGAGUGAAGGAGGGUUUCGGCUCGUAAAGCUCUGUUGGUAGUGAAGAAAGAUAGAGGUAGUAACUGGCCUUUAUUUGACGGUAAUUACUUAGAAAGUCACGGCUAACUACGUGCCAGCAGCCGCGGUAAUACGUAGGUGGCAAGCGUUGUCCGGAUUUAUUGGGCGUAAAGCGAGUGCAGGCGGUUCAAUAAGUCUGAUGUGAAAGCCUUCGGCUCAACCGGAGAAUUGCAUCAGAAACUGUUGAACUUGAGUGCAGAAGAGGAGAGUGGAACUCCAUGUGUAGCGGUGGAAUGCGUAGAUAUAUGGAAGAACACCAGUGGCGAAGGCGGCUCUCUGGUCUGCAACUGACGCUGAGGCUC
This 750-nucleotide ribosomal RNA is filed under the name uncultured bacterium. Its description in RNAcentral is "bacterial SSU rRNA". It matches the Rfam family "Bacterial small subunit ribosomal RNA", at positions 42 to 754 of the family's 1533-position model. The record is from RNAcentral.